AAAAGAAACUAACAAGGAUUCCCCUAGUAACUGCGAGUGAAGCGGGAAAAGCUCAAAUUUAAAAUCUGGCAGUCCUUGUGGCUGUCCGAGUUGUAAUCUAGAGAAGUGUUAUCCGCGCUGGACCGUGUACAAGUCUCCUGGAAUGGAGCGUCAUAGAGGGUGAGAAUCCCGUCUUUGACACGGACUACCAGGGCUUUGUGAUGCGCUCUCAAAGAGUCGAGUUGUUUG
RNAcentral lists this ribosomal RNA (228 nucleotides) under uncultured fungus. RNAcentral describes it as "partial 28S ribosomal RNA". It matches the Rfam family "Eukaryotic large subunit ribosomal RNA", at positions 57 to 276 of the family's 3401-position model. Lineage: Eukaryota; Fungi. The record is from RNAcentral.